Molecule: antisense RNA, 69 nt
Filed under: Streptomyces sp. CB00316
Lineage: Bacteria; Bacillati; Actinomycetota; Actinomycetes; Kitasatosporales; Streptomycetaceae
Also listed under: 1 other name
Description: ASpks sRNA
Rfam family: ASpks TB sRNA
Source: RNAcentral
CUUCACCGAUCCCAGCAGCAGGGGCAGUUCCCGGUCCUGUCCGUAGGUGGCGAGCAGGGCCUGUGCCUC